AAACAUGGUUAACAUGGUUAAUAUCCACUUCCGGGAAAGUAGGUAAUGUAGCUUUACACAUAUAUAUUCUGCGCAGUUAAACACCAAUGGCAUACAGACAUGACAGAAAACGUGAUUUGAAAAAACGACAUGUUGAGGUGUUAUUUACAACAAUAAGUAAUGGAAUAUAACUUCAAAAGACACACUUCAACGAAGUAAGGAUAACGCUAACAAUUUUGAGACGUAUUAUUCAGACGAAACAUAAAAGACAUCUAGUGUAUAUUUUAUACAAACGAAUUAAGUUCUGUAAUAUAGAAAUGUUCCUGUGCGUACAAAAAAAAACAAUUCCAGCUAUUUUCUUAUUUUCCUUGUGAUAUUCAGAGUAGCAUGAGGCUGUUCCAAUGGAACUCACCACUAGAACGUCAAGCCUCAUAUAUAAACUGGCCAGUUCAUCCCCGGUUUAGUCCAACUCAAUUAGUACAGGCAGGAUUUACUUACACUGAAACAGAGAAUACUGUUCGUUGUCUUACCUGUGAUUACACAGCAUCAGUUAAUUCCUGGAUUCCACCAGAGAGUCCAUCGGAGGCUCAUGUACGCUGCAGUCCUGAUUGUAGUUUCGUUCCUGGAAUUAAAAUGUGCAUAACGUUUAAAACAAGCUGGAAAAAUAAAAAUACCUUAACAGACUACCACAUUAACACUGACAUCAUUGUACCUGUAACUGAUGCUUCACCAACAGAUACAUUUACUGAUCAAUCUGUGCAACGGCUACAAUAUCCACAAUAUGAAAACGUCCUGACACGAAUACAGUCCUAUUCAAACGUCUUAAAACAGCGAUCAAAACUUUUGGCGGAAGCUGGGUAUUUCUUCACAGGCGAGGCUGAUAUUGUGAGAUGCUUUUGUUGUGGACUUGGGCUAGCGAAAUGGAAUCAUCAAGAUGAACCAUGGGUUGAACAUGCUAGACACAGCUUUAAGUGUGCGUUCCUUAUAAAUGAAAAGGGAGUGGACUAUGUAAAUGACCAGCAAACAAGAUGGGAAAAGAUCUAUAAUCCAAAGCAUCCUACUUUAGAAGACAAAGACUCUCGAUUGAAAACAUUUGCUGGUAUUUGGAGAACUGAUAUUGAACAAACCCCAGAGAUUUUAGUGGAUGCUGGUUUCUUUUACACUGAAAGGACAGAAACCAGAAAACUCAGUCAGCACUGAUUUACAGUUACCAUGUUUACUCGUGCAUCGCCUUUAUCUGAAAGAAAAAGAAGAGGAAAAGGAUCUUCAUAAAAUGAAAGAGACAAACAGACAACUGAAGGAAAAAAUGAAAUGCAUUCGAUGUAGAACCAAUGAUAUUUGUAUACUGUUUGUAAAUUGUGGACAUCGACAGACCUGUGAGGAGUGUGCUGUUGCUAUGGUCUUCUGUCCAUCCUGUGAUACAAGGAUAAAGAAAAGAUUAAAAACAUAUCUGUCAUGAUAAUAGAAUGGGUUUAUGCAUUUAUAAAAACUGAGACUACAUGUAGUAGUUAGAUUUUAAUACAUGAACCUAUUUGUUUAUUUGUUAGAAUGCAAUUGUGAUUUUUAAAAAAUGUUAUAAAUGAUCAGUCAUCAAGUCAAUUGAUUCUCAAUAAAAAGAAAUGUCAAUUAAUCAAAUUCAAAGAUUAAUUUUAAAAGUUUAGAACUUGUGUGAACUUGCUUGAAUUAGGAUAUCCAA
Molecule: RNA transcript, 1675 nt
Organism: Mytilus trossulus (common blue mussel)
Lineage: Eukaryota; Metazoa; Mollusca; Bivalvia; Mytilida; Mytilidae
Gene name: E3 ubiquitin-protein ligase XIAP-like
Exons: 7
Source: RefSeq, a predicted model, not a curated record